CAGCGGAGGGAUCAUUACCGGAGUUUACAACUCCCAAACCCAUUGUGAACUUAUACCCAAAACGUUGCCUCGGCGGACACAGCGGUACCCGAGCCCCCGCAAGGGAGCAAAGGCGCCCCGUCCGCCAGGGGACCAAAACUCUUCUGUAUACCCAUAGCGGCAUGUCUGAGUGGAUUUAAAAACAAAUGAAUCAAAACUUUCAACAACGGAUCUCUUGGUUCUGGCAUCGAUGAAGAACGCAGCGAAAUGCGAUACGUAAUGUGAAUUGCAGACUUCAGUGAAUCAUCGAAUCUUUGAACGCACAUUGCGCCCGCCAGUAUUCUGGCGGGCAUGCCUGUUCGAGCGUCAUUUCAACCCUCAAGCCCUGCUUGGUGUUGGGGACCGGCUCAGCGGGUGCGGGCUUCGGCCCGCCCCGUGCCGCCCCCGAAAUGGAUCGGCGGUCUCGUCGCAGCCUUCUUUGCGUAGUAACAUACCACCUCGCAACAGGAGCGCGGCGCGGCCACUGCCGUAAAACGCCCAACUUUUUAGAGUUGACCUCGAAUCAGGUAGGAAUACCCGCUGAACUUAAGCAUAUCAAU
This 578-nucleotide ribosomal RNA is filed under the name Claviceps purpurea (ergot fungus). Its description in RNAcentral is "eukaryotic LSU rRNA". The stretch from base 195 to 348 matches the Rfam family "5.8S ribosomal RNA". Lineage: Eukaryota; Fungi; Ascomycota; Sordariomycetes; Hypocreales; Clavicipitaceae. The record is from RNAcentral.